RNAcentral lists this ribosomal RNA (506 nucleotides) under uncultured bacterium. RNAcentral describes it as "partial 16S ribosomal RNA". It matches the Rfam family "Bacterial small subunit ribosomal RNA", at positions 29 to 523 of the family's 1533-position model. The record is from RNAcentral.
AGUGAACGCUGGCGGUAGGCCUAACACAUGCAAGUCGAACGGCAGCACAGGAGAGCUUGCUCUCUGGGUGGCGAGUGGCGGACGGGUGAGGAAUACAUCGGAAUCUACUUUUUCGUGGGGGAUAACGUAGGGAAACUUACGCUAAUACCGCAUACGACCUACGGGUGAAAGCAGGGGGCCUUCGGGCCUUGCGCGAUUGAAUGAGCCGAUGUCGGAUUAGCUAGUUGGCGGGGUAAAGGCCCACCAAGGCGACGAUCCGUAGCUGGUCUGAGAGGAUGAUCAGCCACACUGGAACUGGGACACGGUCCAGACUCCUACGGGAGGCAGCAGUGGGGAAUAUUGGACAAUGGGCGCAAGCCUGAUCCAGCCAUACCGCGUGGGUGAAGAAGGCCUUCGGGUUGUAAAGCCCUUUUGUUGGGAAAGAAAUCCAGCUGGCUAAUACCCGGUUGGGAUGACGGUACCCAAAGAAUAAGCACCGGCUAACUUCGUGCCAGCAGCCGCCGUAA